RNAcentral lists this long non-coding RNA (915 nucleotides) under Panax ginseng (ginseng). RNAcentral's name for it is "long non-coding RNA (PGIN_LNC017616)". Lineage: Eukaryota; Viridiplantae; Streptophyta; Magnoliopsida; Apiales; Araliaceae. The record is from RNAcentral.
UGGGUUUUGGCUUAAGACUGAAACCAAACACACUUGACCACAGUAAAACCCUUUCGUCUAAGCUUUUCGCUUUUAACUCUAUCUCUCUCCAUAUAAUAUUUCACUGUCAAAUACUCCUACAAAAUUUUAUAAUUAUCCUAUUUGUUAUCGGACAUUCAAGAAAACCUUCAUCUGUGGGUCAAAAUCACAUGAACUCUGUUUGUUAAUUAGGAAUCCCCAGCUCUGUAAAAAUUUCCAAGGUCCUGAUAUAUGAGUUGAUCAAAUUCGAUUUUUCAAGGAGUUGUAAGGUAUCUUCAAUUGUAAUUUUUUUUCCUGAAAGUUUUUUCGCUUAGGGUUUCAAUGUGCCCGAGUUUGAUUGGUUAUCGAAUUUUUGGGUUUUUAUUUUAUUUGUUAUUUUUAAUAUUCUCAAUGUAAGUAAGCAAAUAUGUAUUUCUCUUCUUUUUGAUAGUACUCGAUACAAGCAAUGUAACAGUUGGCAAUGAUAGAUUUAUUGAAGGACUGCCCUUAUUAGCUGUUGUGGGAUAGUCAUGGAUAGCUGUUUGUUUUCUUAUUUUUUUUAACUCAGAGAACAGAUACAUUCAACAUUUUACUGUUUGUAAUUAACUAUUUGGUCUGACUCCAUUCUCAAGAAAACCAAUAAAAUUCAAAUGCAUGUUCUACUUUGGAGCUUGAAAAGAAUGAGGAAUAGUGAAAGGUAUAGAAAAAUUAAAGUAACAUUAUACUUGUGCAGUUGUGCUGAUUAAGAGGACUUUCCUUGCCUUGCUCUUUCCGGAUUUUGGUUUUUCCACUUCACUCUAAUUCUCAUGCAAUAAAUUACUCAUAUUACCGUGUUCUGCUUUUCCUUGCUGUAUCGUUCUGGAAAGAAGAUAGGAAAUUGGUAUUAAAUAGCAAUCAAAGAACAGGGGACGCAUUUGC